CCCUCGCUGGGGGCCUGGAACUUGCCCACCACCAGCCUCGACCCGUUCUUCACCUUCUCGAUGGACUCCCCCACGGCGGCGCUCGCCUCCUUGGGGCUCGCCCCGAGGGCCUCCUUGGCCUCCCGCACGGCGGUGGACGCCGCCGCGAGCGCCGCCGCCUCGUCGGAGAAGUUGAGCUUCUGCGACAUCCAGACCUCGUUGGCGGCGGGGUCCGCGAGGAGGAGCCAGAAGUUCUCCUCCUUGGGGAAGGGGAAGAAGGGCGCGUGGGGGAGGGCGACGGUGAGGCCGUU
RNAcentral lists this long non-coding RNA (290 nucleotides) under Spirodela polyrhiza (greater duckweed). RNAcentral's name for it is "long non-coding RNA (SPOL_LNC000381)". The record is from RNAcentral. Lineage: Eukaryota; Viridiplantae; Streptophyta; Magnoliopsida; Alismatales; Araceae.